AGUGAACGCUGGCGGUAGGCCUAACACAUGCAAGUCGAACGGCAGCACGGUAAGAGCUUGCUCUUACGGGUGGCGAGUGGCGGACGGGUGAGGAAUACAUCGGAAUCUACUUUUUCGUGGGGGAUAACGUAGGGAAACUUACGCUAAUACCGCAUACGACCUACGGGUGAAAGCAGGGGAUCUUCGGACCUUGCGCGAUUGAAUGAGCCGAUGUCGGAUUAGCUAGUUGGCGGGGUAAAGGCCCACCAAGGCGACGAUCCGUAGCUGGUCUGAGAGGAUGAACAGCCACACUGGAACUGAGACACGGUCCAGACUCCUACGGGAGGCAGCAGUGGGGAAUAUUGGACAAUGGGCGCAAUCCUGAUCCAGCCAUACCGCGUGGGUGAAGAAGGCCUUCGGGUUGUAAAGCCCUUUUGUUGGGAAAGAAAAGCAGCAGGUUAAUACCCCGCUGUUCUGACGGUACCCAAAGAAUAAGCACCGGCUAACUUCGUG
This 492-nucleotide ribosomal RNA is filed under the name uncultured bacterium. Its description in RNAcentral is "partial 16S ribosomal RNA". It matches the Rfam family "Bacterial small subunit ribosomal RNA", at positions 29 to 507 of the family's 1533-position model. The record is from RNAcentral.